GCUUUACACAUGCAAGUCGAACGGCAGCACGGGGGCAACCCUGGUGGCGAGUGGCGAACGGGUGAGUAAUACAUCGGAACGUGCCCAGUCGUGGGGGAUAACGCAGCGAAAGCUGCGCUAAUACCGCAUACGAUCUACGGAUGAAAGCGGGGGAUCGCAAGACCUCGCGCGAUUGGAGCGGCCGAUGGCAGAUUAGGUAGUUGGUGGGGUAAAGGCUCACCAAGCCAACGAUCUGUAGCUGGUCUGAGAGGCCGACCAGCCACACUGGGACUGAGACACGGCCCAGACUCCUACGGGAGGCAGCAGUGGGGAAUUUUGGACAAUGGGCGCAAGCCUGAUCCAGCCAUUCCGCGUGCAGGAUGAAGGCCCUCGGGUUGUAAACUGCUUUUGUACGGAACGAAACGGUCCGUGGUUAAUACCUGGGGCUAAUGACGGUACCGUAAGAAUAAGCACCGGCUAACUACGUGCCAGCAGCCGCGGUAAUACGUAGGGUGCAAGCGUUAAUCGGA
This 509-nucleotide ribosomal RNA is filed under the name uncultured beta proteobacterium. RNAcentral describes it as "bacterial SSU rRNA". It matches the Rfam family "Bacterial small subunit ribosomal RNA", at positions 46 to 549 of the family's 1533-position model. The record is from RNAcentral. Lineage: Bacteria; Pseudomonadati; Pseudomonadota; Betaproteobacteria.